ACUGUGUGUUUUUGGAAAAGCUAAUGGCUUCAAUAUCUCAAACCAACCAGUUCCCGUGCAAGACUCUUUCACAAAACCCACCACACAAUCAGUUCACCUCGAAGCCUUCAAUUCUUCCUUUGAACUCGGUUCGAAUUUCACGGAGUCUCGCCAAGAAAUCAUUUCUUUCAAUCCAAGGAUUCACUCGGGCCAGGCCGCUGGUUCUAACUCGGGCUGCCGAUGAUGAUGAGUGGGGCCCGGAGAAGGAGAAGGAGGAAGGUGGCGCUCUGGCGGUGGCAGAGGAGGAGAGCCCAAAAGAAGUUACAGAGAUUGAUAAUUUGAAGAAAGCGCUUG
This 333-nucleotide long non-coding RNA is filed under the name Citrus sinensis (sweet orange). RNAcentral's name for it is "long non-coding RNA (CSIN_LNC000500)". The record is from RNAcentral. Lineage: Eukaryota; Viridiplantae; Streptophyta; Magnoliopsida; Sapindales; Rutaceae.